CGGGGCCUUUUAUAGCUUUCUGCAUGUAUAUGGUACAGAUAUUUCUCAUUAUUGACGACCAUAUGGUGGCCUAUAGUUAUUAAUACAUUUUCCUCCUUUGAACUCUUUUGGAUAGCAUUGGUUCUUUGCAAAAAAUACCACAUCCUUUUUUAUAAAUAAGACAGUUAAAGUAACUUAAAUCAAUACAAAUGUAAUGAAAGUGAAUUUAUAUUAAGGAUGUAGUUAGGUGAGGUUAGGUGAAAAAUAAUAAAUCAAGAAUUUAAAAUUGAUACUUUAAGCUGGUAGAGCAUUCUUUAAGGAUAAAAAUAAGCUAAAAAUAUUGAUAGGUCAUGGAGCUCCUUUUCGAGGUAUCUGAGAUUUAAAAUACGGCAGGAAAAGGCUGACUCGGACUUUUACCUUAUAUUUGCAUUGGUAUUAUUUGGGUCCCAAAACAAAAGAAAGAAAAUCAAGAAUCUUCCAAAAUUUUGGUAAAUGACCUUUCAUGAGACAUUAAGUCUUAUAUGAAAAAAUAAAUGGGUGUUAUGGGGCAAAAUAUUUUACCUAGUAUUGUAUGGAAAAACACCAAGGAGUCCGAACAUUUGACAUGAAUUCCAAAACCUCACCUAAGUACAUCCUUAAAGGCUUUUAUCUAAAAUAGGGAACGUGUCCAUGGGACACAAAUGAUGCCCCCGCUAGCAUUAAUGUUAUAAAGGGUCACAACUCAAGAACUGUAAAUGUGCAUGACGCUACCAAAAUGUGUACUUGAUCUGAGUUAUGGGGUAAUAAGCAUUGUGUAUACAUUCUAAUUACACAGUAUUGCGCAAUAGAUUUGUUAGAUCUUGACAUUUGUUUUGUGUCAG
This 839-nucleotide long non-coding RNA is filed under the name Mytilus galloprovincialis (Mediterranean mussel). The record is from RNAcentral. Lineage: Eukaryota; Metazoa; Mollusca; Bivalvia; Mytilida; Mytilidae.